UCCUACGGGAGGCAGCAGUGAGGAAUAUUGGUCAAUGGGAGAGAUCCUGAACCAGCCAAGCCGCGUGAGGGAAGACGGCCCUAUGGGUUGUAAACCUCUUUUGUCGGAGAACAAAACCCGGGACGUGUCCCGGACUGCGUGUAUCCGAAGAAAAAGCAUCGGCUAACUCCGUGCCAGCAGCCGCGGUAAUACGUAGGGGGCAAGCGUUAUCCGGAUUUACUGGGUGUAAAGGGAGCGUAGACGGCCAGACAAGUCUGAAGUGAAAAUCCAGCGCUUAACGUUGGAAGUGCUUUGGAAA
Molecule: ribosomal RNA, 298 nt
Filed under: uncultured bacterium
Lineage: Bacteria
Description: partial 16S ribosomal RNA
Rfam family: Bacterial small subunit ribosomal RNA
Source: RNAcentral